CCUGCUAUCCACUAUUAAAAGCUAAAUGCAGUCAAACCAGUGUCAGCUUUUGAGCCUGAUGAACCCCUGGUUAUACUUGUUGAGUACGAUAUGUGCUCACUCUUGCUAUUUCCCACCACUUCAGUUUACUAGUAAGAGUUGAGCAGAAGAGCGAUGGAAUCAUGAAGGUGUUCUCAAGAUACAAGAAGUGCUAAGCAUAUGUUACCCCUAGUGUAACACCCAAAAAUUUAUUUUCAAUCAAUAGGAAUUAAUUUGAUUUAAUUAAGCAUUUUUUUUGUGAGCAUUUAAUGUAGUAAAUAAAUAAAUUCUGUUGAAAAUAAAAUUUAUCAUAAGUUUAGAGACAUGGCUGUGCAUUCAUGCUGAAGCAUAAUAAUUUUUGUGCUGAUUGUAUUUUAUUUUAUUUACUUUAUGCUCAAAAGCUCUUUUAGAAAAUGCUUUGAAAAAGAAAACAGAAAAGAAAAAGAAUAAUAAAAAAAAGAGGCAAAGACCCACCCCCGGCCUUUCUUUCCCCCUCUCCCCACUCGCGGUUUCGGCCCAGCAAACCAGCAGCAGCGCCCGGCCCAACUUCCCCACCCCGGCCCACUCCUUUCCAGACCCGCAGUGCGCCCCUCCUCUCUUCUCUUCCUUGGCUCACUGAUCACUGGGGCCCACACGUCAGCGUGUUCUUUCUUCUUCCCCAGCGCACGCAACCGAACAGGAAACCCCCUAUCGAAUCGAACCCGUGGAGCCGGGAUUUCCUUGCCGUUUUGCACGAACCGAGGCCCUAUAAAGCUUCCAAGUAUCGCAGCGGAUUUCUUUUCCGUUAGACGCGCGUCCGAGGAACCCUAGCCGCCGCAGCGCGAAGCUUUGCAUCUUGCCGAAAGCCAACUCCAUCUCCGCACGCCGCG
RNAcentral lists this long non-coding RNA (887 nucleotides) under Sorghum bicolor (sorghum). RNAcentral's name for it is "long non-coding RNA (SBIC_LNC010243)". Lineage: Eukaryota; Viridiplantae; Streptophyta; Magnoliopsida; Poales; Poaceae. The record is from RNAcentral.